GCCCCUCAGGUUCAUGCCAUUCUCCUGCCUCAGCCUCUCGAGUAGCUGGGACUACCGGCGCUCGCCACCAUGCCCGGCUAAUUUUGUUUUUUUUUUUUUUUUUGUAUUUUUAGUAGAGACGGGGUUUCACCGUGUUCGCCAGGACGGUCUCGAUCUCCUGACCUUGUGAUCCGCCUGCCUCGGCCUCCCAAAGUGCUGGGAUUACAGGCGUGAGCCACCGCGCCCGGCUGAACCCAGCUAAACAGUUUUGCUGCUGACAGAGGUAUCCAUGCUCAGCACCGUUGAUGGAAAUUUUUGGAGAAAAGCUUUGAGAAGCCCAUCCUCCAGGGCUGCUCACACAGGCAGCCUAAGCAAGUUCCAUAAAGGAAGGAAUGAAAUGGUAGUCAUGCCUCCCCUGCUCUUGGUUUAGGCAGGAGUGGUGGUGACAGGAAAAUGACCAGGAAGUGGUACUAAGGUGCAACAACAAAGCCAAAGGCAAUGCUUUUCCUUUUUUAACAGCCAUAGUUCUGCCCUGAGGCUUCAUAGGCUAGCAGGCCAAGGGCUGCCCACACAGGGGUAAGUGGGCGGAUGGCCUGGCUCUGGGACAUUAGCCCCUGGCUUUCAUGGAGGUGUGUGCUGAGGUGUGGAAAUGGUGGCUGCCCUUUUCCCCUACUGAGCUAGACCGCACCAGGCCACCCCACCCACUAGUGACAGUCUUGGUUACAAAGUCCUAAACACAAUCUGCCCAACGGGGCCCAUCCAUCUGAGAAAUCACAAUUUAGAGGAGGUGUUCCUCUGCACUGUGUUACAGGAGACACGGCAACCACAAGGUUAAAAUCAGAAGCAAACAGGGGGCCAGUGUUUCUCCACAUGAGCACCUCAGGAUUCUCUCUCUUCUGGAGAUUGUCAACUGAGAGAAGAUUCCUGGGUGCCUUUCUCACGGGCCAAAGGAUGGCUUUGGAGACAACGUGAGUGGGGCAAACGCAGGAUGGGGUGGAAAGUGAGGGGGUGGUGCCAUCAGCCUCACACUCACGGUCACUCGUCUCCGCCGCACUGGUGCCACUACAGUCAACUCCCCAUCCUCAAA
RNAcentral lists this long non-coding RNA (1066 nucleotides) under Homo sapiens (human). RNAcentral describes it as "HSALNT0194325". Lineage: Eukaryota; Metazoa; Chordata; Mammalia; Primates; Hominidae. The record is from RNAcentral.